This 1406-nucleotide long non-coding RNA is filed under the name Sorghum bicolor (sorghum). RNAcentral describes it as "long non-coding RNA (SBIC_LNC014302)". The record is from RNAcentral. Lineage: Eukaryota; Viridiplantae; Streptophyta; Magnoliopsida; Poales; Poaceae.
AUUUAAGAAUCAAGAAGACUAGCAGACGGAGGACAUUCUAAUCGCUGUCAGAAUGCUGGUGACUUUCAAAUACACCUCUGCCACCUGCUAGCUACAUCAAGAGAAAUUACGUCAAAAUUCAGCUUGGGGGAGAGCACCCCUAUUUAUCCCGCUAAGUAUUUUUAUCUAACUAUCUUAUACUAUUUUAGAAUAUAAAUAUAAAUAACUAUGAAAAACCAAAUAAAGAUUUUAUGCUUAUAUAUAUAUCUUUUGCUUAGUGUGUUUAAUAAAUAAAUAAAGUGGCUAUGCUAAUCUGUAUCUAAAUAAAACUCUAGCAUGGAUAUGAUGAAUAGUUGCUCUGCCUAAUUUGCACAUUUUAAGUUCUCUCUCAAGUUUAGAUAUAACUGUUAUAAUUUAAAGCUUGCUCUAGACCUAAACUUGUGGGAUGAAAACUUGAUCUGAAGUCUAAGUUGUUAAUGGAUACGAUAUGAGAAGGUUGAGCUGCUGUUUAUCUGUUUCUAGAGAUGCUAGAAUUCUGGAGAAUUUUAUCUUUGAAAAUCUUUAAAAUGUUGCAUGAUGAGUUCCUGUAUGAUGAGAGUUUAAAUUCCUACCACAGCCAUAUAUACAUACUUGCUAGACUUUGAGCCACACAUUUACUAUUUACUGCUUACGAGCAUUGAGUGUGGUCAAGCUGUGUAGACCCUUAGGAGCUUGUCAUGUGGUUAAAUCAAGAUUCACUUGCACGUUCACUCAUAUAUGCUACUUCUACUCCGGAAGUACCAUCCACAUAUAUCCACUCAUUUCCAUCUCCAGAACCACCUAAAAAUAUUCUACUCCUAAUCCGGGAGAGAAUAGCCAAAAAUAUUUUUGUUUUUCCCUUGUGAAAUAAAUGCUCAAGUUAUCUUGUUACUACCACUUGCUACAUUAUUUCAAGAGAUGAGUGCUCUAAAAAAACGAGGAAAUAAAAAGGAGCAAGUGCUCGGAACCUCGAAAGAAAAGAAAAAGUGAGACGAGAGGUAAAAAUGGACAAGUGUCCGACAGUAGAUUAGGGGUACAAGAUACCCACCUGAGAGAAAAGAAAAAAAAAUAAAGAGCAUCUCAUUCUCCUCAUAAAAUUUCAAAAAAAGCAAGAAAGGUAUGUAUCCCCUCAAAAGAGCAAAAGUAGAAUUAGACUUCCAUCACCAUUGUUUUCACCAUUGUUACCACCAUCAUCACCAUACACCAUUCAUUCGCCACACAUGCACAUCUUGAUUAAACUUAUUGACUUGUUACUUUGGAUCCAUGGUUUGACUAUACAAUAAAUGUCUUGUAAGUAUGUAUAUUUUAUCUCCCACCUAUGAGCUCCAGAUAUUAAAGCCUUAUUAGAGUAGGGUGAGAGAUAAGAUAAUGUCACUAUGCUUUAUACCACAAAUACUACAUAUCUUGAG